This 3813-nucleotide long non-coding RNA is filed under the name Sus scrofa (pig). RNAcentral's name for it is "lncRNA (ENSSSCG00035069562.1)". The record is from RNAcentral. Lineage: Eukaryota; Metazoa; Chordata; Mammalia; Artiodactyla; Suidae.
UGAAGUAUAGUUGAUUUAAAAUGUUGUGAUCAUUUCUGCUAUAGAGCAAAGUAACUCAGCCAUACAGGUACACACAUUCAUUCUUUUUCAGAUUCCGUUCCCAUAGAGAUGGGUCCUCCUAUUAUCACAACAGCCCCCAUUAGGGAAAGGCUUAGGGAGAUUAGACUCACACACCUGGGCAGGUGACAUAAAGAUGGGGGCAGGAUUGGAAUGAUGCACCUGUGAGCAAAGGUGCUUGAUGAAAUACAAGCAAAGGAAGGUCAGAAGCCAGUAAAAGUGGCAAGAGUCAAGGAAUGGAUUCCCCUUAGAACUUCCUAAGGAAGUGAUACUGAUUUAUGAUUUGUUGUCGGAAGCCACUGAGUGUGUGACAUUUUGUUACAACAGCCAGAGAAAAUGAACACUCAGUGGAACCCCUUGGUACUUCACAAAAAUAUUUUAGACGUAAGAGGCAUCCCAGAGAUGGUGUGUAGAAACAGGAACCCAGAGAGGUCAUGAAGUUAAAAGAAACAGGAACCCAGAGAGGUCGUGAAGUUAAAAGAACACAGAAUUUGAAAAAACUUUGGGAAAAAAGAGUACUUGGUUUUCCACAGCCUAUGGAAUGAGAAGGGGUUCAAAUCCAUUACUGUUGUAAUUUGGGUGGUGGCGUCACACAGAGAGAAGGCUCUGAAAGAGUACACCAGAUACAUUAUGGUUAGUUAGUAUUGUUGUGAUUGUGUUGUCAUCAUUGCUGUUUGCUUUAGUCAGGUUGGGCUGCUGUAGUAAACUGCCAGGGACUGUGGGGCUUAAACAACAGACGUUUCUUUCUCACUGCUUGGGAGGCUGGGGAGUCUUGGUAGGGGCUCCAGGAGCCAGCAGAUUUAGUCUUGGUGACAGCUGUCUUCCUGAUUUUCAGAUGUCUGCCUUCUUGCCAUGUCCAUAUAGGGGAGAAAGAAAACUUCCUUUUUUUGUAAAGGAGCUAAUCUCAUUAAGGGGCUCUAAUGUCAUGACCUCAUCUAAACGUAAUUACCUCUGCAAGGGUCCACCUCCUAACAUCCAUCACAGUGGGAUGGUUCCAGCCCUCUUCCAUGUUCAGAAUAUUCUAGAAGCAAACAUGACCUGGGCAGACCACUAGCUCCCUCUAUUGGGAGUGUCUGGAGAUAGAAGAAGAGAAGUACAGGGACUCCAGACUGAGUGAGGGCUAAGGAACAUGCACAGGUUCUCAGAGGAGUAUGGGCCUCAGAUGCGAAUAAUUAUGGAUUCUAGUCAGUUUUAAAAAUUUGAGUGAGCUGAUUUCCUGAUGACUCUCACAGAAGGCAGCCAUCACAUUAAGAGGAAACUUGAACUGUAAUCCCUCAUUUUCUUUUCAUUGCCAUGAAAAAAGUCAGCAUAAUGGGAACUGAUAAGAGAGCCAAAUCACUAAAAUAUGAAAAUCACGGAAUUAGCAUUUAUCCAAAUUCCUCAGCUGAGCCUAUCAUGGAAAAAGCUUGUUUUAAUCACAUCGAGUUGCUUCUUCAUGACUGUGGAGUUUCUUAUGAGCUAAAACACCCUUUAUUCUUAUAGGCAAAAUUAAUGGCUCAACCAAAGAAUUAGAUUAAUGAAGCCAAGAGCCUUGAAGAUCUCCAGGAAAGACAUCUUCAGCAUUUUCAAGUCCUCACCCCAUGAAACAGAUCCUUUGGAAUUAAUCAAUCUAAUGAUCAGCUCCCUCAUGUUUCCUAUGCUCAGCCUCAAAAUUUUGCCCUAUUCAAGGGCUGGGGCAGUUUGCAUGGCCACUGCCUUCUCUCUCAGAUAACAUUGUGAAAGACAAAAUGAGGACCACUGACUUUCUAAGAUCACUGUAAGUCAGGUGAAUUAUACCCAUGGUCCUUAUCUUCAAAGGCUACUGUCAUUGUGGGUUUGGCUUUGCCACAGUGAAGUGCAGAUGUUAAUCUGUCCUACAUAAGGGUGAUUUAAUUGUAAUCCUCAAUUGUGUACGUAAAGAUAUAAUAUCUUCAUGAAAAAAAAUAAUCCUUAUUGUACUGACUAGCUGUUUUAUUUUCUAUUUUUUGACUGCUAAGCAAUUUUUGAAUUAUUAUGUAAAUUCUCUUGAUCUCAUUGAAAAUUAUGUGUUCACUCUGAUCCACAAAAUAAGAACUUGGAAUAGCCAAGUUGGUGAAAUCUUGGAGUAGUCUUUACGGAAUAUUAGUUUGGCAGAACUGAAGGAGCAAUUUCAGUGUGCAAGCCACAGGCUUACACAGUGAUAGCUGUGCUGUGAUUAAUACAUGCCAGGGCAGGUCAGAACACAGUCUCACUGUAGAUACCUGUGAUCUCUUUCCAUCACACCAUGUCUCAAACAUUUCAACUCCUUCCUCAUCAACAGACUCAGGGAUGCCACUAAAAAAUCCCAGAAGGGUGUUAUAGCAACUUAGUUUAUUUCUCUCAGUGUUCAGUUUUAAAAACUUAUCUGCUAUUGUUCUGCUAUGUGAUUUUCACCCACUUUGCCCCCUAAACUCCACUUCCUAAUAUUUUUAAAAGUAUUCUCAAAAGUUAAGUUUUAAGUUCUAAAUGUAUACAUUUAUGUAAAAGUAUAGACAAUCCAUCUUCAUUAUUCAAGGUUUCCAGAUUUGCAAAUUUGCCUACUUACUAAAAUGCAUUUGCAACCCCAUAAUCAACACUUGUGGACUUUCAUGGACAUGUGCAGAAUGGUGAAACAUGUGAGUUGUAUGUUAUUCAAAUUCCCAGCUAAGGUCGAACAAAGAGGUGCUCUGCCUUCUCGUUUCAGCUCUCAUGUUGUACACAAUGUCCUUUUCCUGGUACAUUUAAUGCCAUAUUUUUGGCACUUAUUUAGUUGUUUUUGUAAGUUAUUUCAGUGUCUAAGAUGGGCCUCCAGGGUAAUGCUGAAGUGCUAUUUAGUGUCCCUAAGUGCAAGAAGGCUGUGAAGUGCCUUGUGAGAAAAUGAAUGUCAUAAAGAAGCUUUAUUCAGGCAUGAGUUACAGUGCCAUUGGCCAUGAAAUAAAUGCUAAUCAACACUGUAUAUUAAAUAAGAUGUCUUUUAUCAGAAACACAUAAAACAAAAGCUAGUAUUCAUUAGUUAGCAAAAUAUGUUGUGAUCAGAGGCUUGCAGGAACAUAAUCCCAUAGUUCCUUUAGGAACAGUGGUGCAGGAUUCCCUUAUUCAGUGUUCAUAACUACUUUACAAAAUGUAACUACUAAAAAUAGUGUGAAUCCCCUAUAUUUAUUCGAAGUGGGAUAUUGAUCAGUUCCUAAAAUGCAGGCAUUAAUGAAAUCGGGAAAGGACUGAACUCAGUGUCCUCAAGUGAAUACUUUUGCUCUCCAUUCACAUUGAUCUAAUUGUUUGACUCUUCUGUAAUUCAGGUACCACAUCCUACUGAAAAACAGGAUAAAACAGAGAAAAAAGACGCACUCAUAAAAAGAAAAUAGAGAUUUAUUUCCUAUGAUCACCUCCCUUUCCUUCUGCUCUUAUGUUCUUCUCUAGUGUGUAAAACUGGGUUUGUAUUUGAUUGGAUUGACUGCCAAUAAAUUAUUACCAACUGGAUGUGAUGAGAUUCCUUGAGUUGUUUUCAUAGGAUGAAGACAUCGUUCUGAGACAUAUUUGAAGAUUUACAGACAAAUUGUGAUAUUUUGGAUUUGCUUCAAAAUAAUGCUAAAUGAGUUGGGGACAAAAUGACUUGACACUUGCUGAAGCUGGAUGAGAGGUCCAUGGGCGUCAUUAUCCUCUUAGGUCUACUUUGUCUGCUUUUGAAAUUUUCCAUAAUGAAAGUUGCAGAGAUAAAGAACAAGGUAAGAAAUACCAUUCUUCUGUGCCAAAGCCCAUGCUUGGAGCUUUACAUGUGCUUUU